GACGAACGCUGGCGGCGUGCUUAACACAUGCAAGUCGAACGGAAAGGCCCUGCAUUUGUGCCGUGCUGGAGUGGCGAACGGGGGAGUAACACGUGAGUAGCCUGCCCUUUUCUUUGGGGUAACUUCAGGAAACUGGAGCGAAUACCGGAUAUGAGAUCCUUCUGCAUGGGGUUUGUGUUAGAGUGUCGGCGGUUGAGCAUGGAAUGGGGGCUUAUCAGCUUGUUGGUGAGGUGGUGGCGUACCAAGGCUUUGAGGGGAAGCCGGCCUGGGAGGGUGACAGGGCACAUUGGGACUGAGAUAGGGCCAAGACUGAUACGGCAGGCAGAAGUGGGAAACAUUGCAAGAUGGGCGGAAGCCGGAUGCAGCAACUUCGGGUGGGGGAUGACGGCCUUCAGGUAGUAACGCGCUUUAGACUGUGAAGAAGAGUGAGUGACGGUAAUGGGCAAAGAAGCAACGGCUAACUACGUG
This 468-nucleotide ribosomal RNA is filed under the name uncultured bacterium. RNAcentral describes it as "partial 16S ribosomal RNA". It matches the Rfam family "Bacterial small subunit ribosomal RNA", at positions 28 to 507 of the family's 1533-position model. The record is from RNAcentral.